RNAcentral lists this ribosomal RNA (424 nucleotides) under uncultured Glomeromycotina. Its description in RNAcentral is "SSU rRNA". It matches the Rfam family "Eukaryotic small subunit ribosomal RNA", at positions 670 to 1092 of the family's 1831-position model. Lineage: Eukaryota; Fungi; Glomeromycota. The record is from RNAcentral.
CUGGUACGUACUGGUAUCGUUGAUUUCUACCUUCUGACGAACUAUGAUGUCAUUAAUUUGGUGUCAUGGGGAAUCAGGACUGUUACUUUGAAAAAAUUAGAGUGUUUAAAGCAGGCACACGCUUGAAUACAUUAGCAUGGAAUAAUGAAAUAGGACGUUUGACCCUAUUUUGUUGGUUUCUAGGAUCGACGUAAUGAUUAAUAGGGAUAGUUGGGGGCAUUAGUAUUCAAUUGUCAGAGGUGAAAUUCUUGGAUUUAUUGAAGACUAACUACUGCGAAAGCAUUUGCCAAGGAUGUUUUCAUUAAUCAAGAACGAAAGUUAGGGGAUCGAAGACGAUCAGAUACCGUCGUAGUCUUAACCAUAAACUAUGCCGACUAGGGAUCGGAUGAUGUUAAUUUUUUAAUGACUCAUUCGGCGCCUUACG